This 303-nucleotide long non-coding RNA is filed under the name Manihot esculenta (cassava). Its description in RNAcentral is "long non-coding RNA (MESC_LNC000268)". The record is from RNAcentral. Lineage: Eukaryota; Viridiplantae; Streptophyta; Magnoliopsida; Malpighiales; Euphorbiaceae.
UGUGUGCUAGAUUUUGGCAGUUCUUGGAGGCAGCACCUAUUGACUCGCGGUUGUCGAAGCCGGUCAAAAAUAAGCUUUCUGGUUAUCAAUAAUUUACAACUGCAGAUAGUGGUGAAAGGAUCGAAUCCACAGGGAAUUGAGAACCCACCUAUUUCUCUUUUUAUGACCAAGAAAAUAAACUGAAACAAUUAUAAAUUAAAAAUGAGAUAAAAGACUGAAAGUAGGGUCAAACGAGAUAAACUGAAAAUUGGGAUCAAAACUGUCAACAAAAUAACAAGGGGUUUGAGAUUGAUUGUAGUAAAC